RNAcentral lists this ribosomal RNA (1546 nucleotides) under uncultured bacterium. Its description in RNAcentral is "bacterial SSU rRNA". It matches the Rfam family "Bacterial small subunit ribosomal RNA". The record is from RNAcentral.
GCCCUUAGAGUUUGAUCCUGGCUCAGGACGAACGCUGGCGGCGUGCCUAAUACAUGCAAGUCGAGCGAGCGGAACUAACAGAUUUACUUCGGUAAUGACGUUAGGAAAGCGAGCGGCGGAUGGGUGAGUAACACGUGGGGAACCUGCCCCAUAGUCUGGGAUACCACUUGGAAACAGGUGCUAAUACCGGAUAAGAAAGCAGAUCGCAUGAUCAGCUUUUAAAAGGCGGCGUAAGCUGUCGCUAUGGGAUGGCCCCGCGGUGCAUUAGCUAGUUGGUAAGGUAAAGGCUUACCAAGGCGAUGAUGCAUAGCCGAGUUGAGAGACUGAUCGGCUACAUUGGGACUGAGACACGGCCCAAACUCCUACGGGAGGCAGCAGUAGGGAAUCUUCCACAAUGGACGCAAGUCUGAUGGAGCAACGCCGCGUGAGUGAAGAAGGUUUUCGGAUCGUAAAGCUCUGUUGUUGGUGAAGAAGGAUAGUGGUAGUAACUGGCCUUUAUUUGACGGUAAUCAACCAGAAAGUCACGGCUAACUACGUGCCAGCAGCCGCGGUAAUACGUAGGUGGCAAGCGUUGUCCGGAUUUAUUGGGCGUAAAGCGAGCGCAGGCGGAAGAAUAAGUCUGAUGUGAAAGCCCUCGGCUUAACCGAGGAACUGCAUCGGAAACUGUUUUUCUUGAGUGCAGAAGAGGAGAGUGGAACUCCAUGUGUAGCGGUGGAAUGCGUAGAUAUAUGGAAGAACACCAGUGGCGAAGGCGGCUCUCUGGUCUGCAACUGACGCUGAGGCUCGAAAGCAUGGGUAGUGAACAGGAUUAGAUACCCUGGUAGUCCAUGCCGUAAACGAUGAGUGCUAAGUGUUGGGAGGUUUCCGCCUCUCAGUGCUGCAGCUAACGCAUUAAGCACUCCGCCUGGGGAGUACGACCGCAAGGUUGAAACUCAAAGGAAUUGACGGGGGCCCGCACAAGCGGUGGAGCAUGUGGUUUAAUUCGAAGCAACGCGAAGAACCUUACCAGGUCUUGACAUCUAGUGCCAUUUGUAGAGAUACAAAGUUCCCUUCGGGGACGCUAAGACAGGUGGUGCAUGGCUGUCGUCAGCUCGUGUCGUGAGAUGUUGGGUUAAGUCCCGCAACGAGCGCAACCCUUGUUAUUAGUUGCCAGCAUUAAGUUGGGCACUCUAAUGAGACUGCCGGUGACAAACCGGAGGAAGGUGGGGAUGACGUCAAGUCAUCAUGCCCCUUAUGACCUGGGCUACACACGUGCUACAAUGGGCAGUACAACGAGAAGCGAGCCUGCGAAGGCAAGCGAAUCUCUGAAAGCUGUUCUCAGUUCGGACUGCAGUCUGCAACUCGACUGCACGAAGCUGGAAUCGCUAGUAAUUGCGGAUCAGCACGCCGCGGUGAAUACGUUCCCGGGCCUUGUACACACCGCCCGUCACACCAUGGGAGUCUGCAAUGCCCAAAGCCGGUGGCCUAACCUUCGGGAAGGAGCCGUCUAAGGCAGGGCAGAUGACUGGGGUGAAGUCGUAACAAGGUAACCGUAAAGGGCGAAUUC